Bradysia coprophila is the source of this 205-nucleotide long non-coding RNA. The record is from RefSeq and is a predicted model, not a curated record. NCBI's taxonomy places the organism in Eukaryota, Metazoa, Arthropoda, Insecta, Diptera, Sciaridae.
AUUGGUGAAAUGCUCUAUAUAAGUCAUUUCCUUUACUAGAGAGGGAAAAUAGACUUUCCGUCCCUAGGGAAAAGUCUUUCCCUCAUUCGUAAAGGAAAACAUCAUACUACACUCGAGAAAUAAUUUGAUAUUUCGUAUCACGAUGAGUAAAAGUACCUCGGGCUAAAGCGCUCGGACCACUUUUACUCAUCUGGAUACGAAAUAU